ACACUGCUGAGGAGUCCCACAAUAGGACGAAAUGGCCGUCCAGUGC
Molecule: non-coding RNA, 46 nt
Organism: Schistosoma mattheei
Lineage: Eukaryota; Metazoa; Platyhelminthes; Trematoda; Strigeidida; Schistosomatidae
Source: Rfam